This 378-nucleotide ribosomal RNA is filed under the name uncultured eukaryote. RNAcentral describes it as "SSU rRNA". It matches the Rfam family "Eukaryotic small subunit ribosomal RNA", at positions 587 to 972 of the family's 1831-position model. The record is from RNAcentral.
AGCUCUGUAAGCGUAUACCAAAGUUGUUGCAGUUAAAACGCUCGUAGUCGGAUUUUGGCGUGGUACUGCUGAGGUCCCUGAUUGGGUUCCGAGGCCAGUCCCGCCUUUGUGGAUGAGGGCGUGGUGGUGCUUAACUGUAUUGCCGCGUUUUCGCCACUGUUUACUGUGAAAAAAUUAGAGUGUUCAAAGCGAGCGAUUGCCAUGAAUACAUUAGCAUGGAAUAAUAGAAUAGGACCUGAUCCUGUUUUGUUGGUUUGUCGGUAUUAGGUAAUGAUUAAGAGGGACGGUCGGGGGCAUUUGUAUUCCAGGGUUAGAGGUGAAAUUCUUGGAUCCUUGGAAGACAAACAGCUGCGAAAGCGUCUGCCAAGGACGUUUUCA